CACUGCUAAAAUGGUCUAGACUGCUAAAUAGUGCCAAGAAGGAGAUGAAAACUCCUGAGGACAUUUGCUCAACUUGGGUCACAUUUCCCACAAGUGUGUCCUUUCUGCUCUCCGCACUCCAUCCACGAGCAGCGUUGACCUGUGAACAUACCGGGGGUCAUCUGAGCCCAGCACACCCAUGCCACUUGUGUCAGCUGACCUAGAGAACACUUCACAGCUGUGUGCUCUGUGCAAG
This 235-nucleotide long non-coding RNA is filed under the name Fukomys damarensis (Damara mole-rat). Its description in RNAcentral is "lncRNA (ENSFDAG00000024298.1)". The record is from RNAcentral. Lineage: Eukaryota; Metazoa; Chordata; Mammalia; Rodentia; Bathyergidae.